AGCUAUGGUCUAAGUAUCCUAAAGGUACCAGAUCCCAUAUGAUCUUGGAAGCUAAAUAGCACCAGUUCUGGUUAGCAUUUGGAUGGGAGACCACCAAUAAAUGCCAUAGGCUAUAUUUC
RNAcentral lists this ribosomal RNA (119 nucleotides) under Anolis carolinensis (green anole). Lineage: Eukaryota; Metazoa; Chordata; Lepidosauria; Squamata; Anolidae. The record is from RNAcentral.